GGACGAACGCUGGCGGCGUGCUUAACACAUGCAAGUCGAACGGAAAGGCCCUGCUUUUGUGGGGUGCUCGAGUGGCGAACGGGUGAGUAACACGUGAGUAACCUGCCCUUGACUUUGGGAUAACUUCAGGAAACUGGGGCUAAUACCGGAUAGGAGCUCCUGCUGCAUGGUGGGGGUUGGAAAGUUUCGGCGGUUGGGGAUGGACUCGCGGCUUAUCAGCUUGUUGGUGGGGUAGUGGCUUACCAAGGCUUUGGCGGGUAGCCGGCCUGAGAGGGUGACCGGCCACAUUGGGACUGAGAUACGGCCCAGACUCCUACGGGAGGCAGCAGUGGGGAAUAUUGCACAAUGGGCGGAAGCCUGAUGCAGCAACGCCGCGUGCGGGAUGACGGCCUUCGGGUUGUAAACCGCUUUCGCCUGUGACGAAGCGUGAGUGACGGUAAUGGGUAAAGAAGCACCGGCUAACUACGUG
Molecule: ribosomal RNA, 469 nt
Filed under: uncultured bacterium
Lineage: Bacteria
Description: partial 16S ribosomal RNA
Rfam family: Bacterial small subunit ribosomal RNA
Source: RNAcentral